AUAAUAUAUGCUAAAAAAAAGGUGUUUUAAUAGCUUAUUAAUCUAUACAAUAUAUAACUUCCCCUUUAAACAAUACCAUUUACUUCUGCUCCAUAUCUUCCCAGAGUUGCUUCAUCUUCUACUUGGUGGACUACAAGCCCCUCAGGUUUAAAUGGUGGUACGUGUAGCCAGACUGGGCCUUUGCACUGGGCUGGGCCAUGGCCCUCUCCUCCAACCUCCUGGUGCCACUGUGAUCGAUUGGCAGGAUCUAUGUUGGCACAGGCCGCCUCAGGCAGAAUGGACCAUAAUCAUGCACCUGUCUCGAAACCUGGGCAGCGGGAAAAAAUACAUGUCAUCUAUGCACUUAAAUAGCAAAUGGAGGACGCUUUUCCUGUGGUUCAUUAUCAUGCCAGCCAGGAAGGUGAGAAGAUAUACACACGGCGAAUGGAAGGAGAAAGUCUCCCAUGUCUCUCAUUUUACAAGCUUCCAGUUCCCUUAGAUGUAGCAGCAGAAAAUGGUGUUGUCCUCAAAGGGAGUUUUUGUUUUUGCACAAGACAUGAUUAUAUACAAAAUAAACACCACUUACACAAGAAUAGACAAUUAUUUAAAUUUCUUUAAUAAAAUGACAGUUUCAAUAAGUCACACAAUCUCACCGGUAUAGUGAAAAACAAGUCAUAUUCUACUCAUAGGCCUACAGAAUGAAGACAUUUUACUGUUGAAAAUGAGAGAGAAAAUGUUUGUUAUAAAACCCCACUGUUCACUGUAACCUAUUACAUGCCCUUACGGACUUAGGCUAUUGGAUAAUGAUAAUUUAAAAUGGUUAGGAUAGUUCACACUCUCACUGGAUUAGUGAAGGCCAUGUCCCAUACCACUCAUACACUAAGGCAUUUUUUAUUGUGGAAAUUAACAUUUGGGCUAGUCGUUUUGAAAUUCUUGUGGUAAGGUGCUGUGUCUCUGUAUAGGGCAAUGGCGAAAGUGUGUUGUAGAUAUUGGGGUGGAC
RNAcentral lists this long non-coding RNA (979 nucleotides) under Salmo salar (Atlantic salmon). RNAcentral describes it as "lncRNA (ENSSSAG00000099831.1, ENSSSAG00020061516.1)". Lineage: Eukaryota; Metazoa; Chordata; Actinopteri; Salmoniformes; Salmonidae. The record is from RNAcentral.